GAUGAACGCUGGCGGCGUGCCUAAUACAUGCAAGUCGAGCGAACAGACGAGGAGCUUGCUCCUCUGACGUUAGCGGCGGACGGGUGAGUAACACGUGGAUAACCUACCUAUAAGACUGGGAUAACUUCGGGAAACCGGAGCUAAUACCGGAUAAUAUAUUGAACCGCAUGGUUCAAUAGUGAAAGACGGUUUUGCUGUCACUUAUAGAUGGAUCCGCGCCGCAUUAGCUAGUUGGUAAGGUAACGGCUUACCAAGGCGACGAUGCGUAGCCGACCUGAGAGGGUGGUCGGCCACACUGGAACUGAGACACGGUCCAGACUCCUACGGGAGGCAGCAGUAGGGAAUCUUCCGCAAUGGGCGAAAGCCUGACGGAGCAACGCCGCUUGAGUGAUGAAGGUCUUCGGAUCGUAAAACUCUGUUAGUAGGGAAGAACAAAUGUGUAAGUAACUAUGCACGUCGUGACGGUACCUAAUCAGAAAGCCACGGCUAACUACGUG
RNAcentral lists this ribosomal RNA (497 nucleotides) under uncultured bacterium. Its description in RNAcentral is "partial 16S ribosomal RNA". It matches the Rfam family "Bacterial small subunit ribosomal RNA", at positions 28 to 507 of the family's 1533-position model. The record is from RNAcentral.